RNAcentral lists this ribosomal RNA (1392 nucleotides) under uncultured bacterium. Its description in RNAcentral is "bacterial SSU rRNA". It matches the Rfam family "Bacterial small subunit ribosomal RNA". The record is from RNAcentral.
AGAGUUUGAUCCUGGCUCAGAUUGAACGCCUGCGGCAUGCCUUACACAUGCAAGUCGAACGGCAGCACGGGAGCUUGCUCCUGGUGGCGAGUGGCGAACGGGUGAGUAAUAUAUCGGAACGUACCCUAGAGUGGGGGAUAACGCAGCGAAAGUUGCGCUAAUACCGCAUACGAUCUACGGAUGAAAGUGGGGGAUCGCAAGACCUCAUGCUCAUGGAGCGGCCGAUAUCUGAUUAGCUAGUUGGUGGGGUAAAGGCCUACCAAGGCAUCGAUCAGUAGCUGGUCUGAGAGGACGACCAGCCACACUGGAACUGAGACACGGUCCAGACUCCUACGGGAGGCAGCAGUGGGGAAUUUUGGACAAUGGGGGCAACCCUGAUCCAGCAAUGCCGCGUGAGUGAAGAAGGCCUUCGGGUUGUAAAGCUCUUUUGUCAGGGAAGAAACGGUGAGGGCUAAUAUCCUUUGCUAAUGACGGUACCUGAAGAAUAAGCACCGGCUAACCACGUGCCAGCAGCCGCGGUAAUACGUAGGGUGCAAGCGUUAAUCGGAAUUACUGGGCGUAAAGCGUGCGCAGGCGGUUAUGUAAGUCAGAUGUGAAAUCCCCGGGCUCAACCUGGGAAUGGCAUUUGAGACUGCAUGGCUAGAGUGUGUCAGAGGGGGGUAGAAGUCCACGUGUAGCAGUGAAAUGCGUAGAGAUGUGGAGGAAUACCGAUGGCGAAGGCAGCCCCCUGGGAUAACACUGACGCUCAUGCACGAAAGCGUGGGGAGCAAACAGGCUUAGAUACCCUGGUAGUCCACGCCCUAAACGAUGUCUACUAGUUGUCGGGACUUAAUUGUCUUGGUAACGCAGCUAACGCGUGAAGUAGACCGCCUGGGGAGUACGGUCGCAAGAUUAAAACUCAAAGGAAUUGACGGGGACCCGCACAAGCGGUGGAUGAUGUGGAUUAAUUCGAUGCAACGCGAAAAACCUUACCUACCCUUGACAUGUACGGAACCUCUGAGAGAUUAGAGGGUGCUCGAAAGAGAGCCGUAACACAGGUGCUGCAUGGCUGUCGUCAGCUCGUGUCGUGAGAUGUUGGGUUAAGUCCCGCAACGAGCGCAACCCUUGUCAUUAGUUGCUACGAAAGGGCACUCUAAUGAGACUGCCGGUGACAAACCGGAGGAAGGUGGGGAUGACGUCAAGUCCUCAUGGCCCUUAUGGGUAGGGCUUCACACGUCAUACAAUGGUACAUACAGAGGGCCGCCAACCCGCGAGGGGGAGCUAAUCCCAGAAAGUGUAUCGUAGUCCGGAUUGUAGUCUGCAACUCGACUACAUGAAGUUGGAAUCGCUAGUAAUCGCGGAUCAGCAUGUCGCGGUGAAUACGUUCCCGGGUCUUGUACACACCCCCCGUCA